This 254-nucleotide ribosomal RNA is filed under the name uncultured bacterium. RNAcentral's name for it is "partial 16S ribosomal RNA". It matches the Rfam family "Bacterial small subunit ribosomal RNA", at positions 524 to 776 of the family's 1533-position model. The record is from RNAcentral.
UAUGGGGGGGGCAAGCGUUGUUCGGAAUUACUGGGCGUAAAGGGCUCGUAGGUGGCCAACUAAGUCAGACGUGAAAUCCCUCGGCUUAACCGGGGAACUGCGUCUGAUACUGGAUGGCUUGAGUGUGGGAGAGGGAUGCGGAAUUCCAGGUGUAGCGGUGAAAUGCGUAGAUAUCUGGAGGAACACCGGUGGCGAAGGCGGCAUCCUGGACCACGACUGACGCUGAGUGAGCGAAAGCCAGGGGAGCAAACGGG